This 225-nucleotide non-coding RNA is filed under the name Planococcus sp. (in: firmicutes). RNAcentral's name for it is "Planococcus sp. T-box sequence". It matches the Rfam family "T-box leader". From Rfam's summary of the family: Uncharged tRNA acts as the effector for transcription antitermination of genes in the T-box leader family. T-boxes are found upstream of many aminoacyl-tRNA synthetase genes and some amino acid biosynthetic genes usually in Gram-positive bacteria. The anticodon of a specific tRNA base pairs to a specifier sequence within the T-box motif, and the NCCA acceptor tail of the tRNA base pairs to a conserved bulge in the T-box antiterminator hairpin. Lineage: Bacteria; Bacillati; Bacillota; Bacilli; Caryophanales; Caryophanaceae. The record is from RNAcentral.
UUAACUAUGUUGAUGGAGAUACACUUUGUGCAAGGAAAUCUCAAGAGAACUGAUGGUCGGUGAGAAUCAGUGGUUUCGGCAUUUAGUAGCACUCCUGAAUAGAUGGAUUGAACCAAUUAGUAAGUCCAUCCGAUUCGUGCCCGUUACGCAUGUGAACCAAUGAGACUGUCUGUUUUGACAGUGAAUUAGGGUGGUACCGCGAACAAGAGACUCUUCGCCCCUUAC